Long non-coding RNA from Patiria miniata (bat star), 1428 nucleotides. RefSeq lists it as uncharacterized. The record is from RefSeq and is a predicted model, not a curated record. Lineage: Eukaryota; Metazoa; Echinodermata; Asteroidea; Valvatida; Asterinidae. The transcript has 3 exons.
AUCGCCAGUGUCUCCAUAAAGACAACUUUCCAACUGCAUAGGUUUUAAAUACUGAACAGACGGGAAGUUCGCCUAGUGGAAUCCAGAGUCUACAACAUCAGAAUGGGAAUCUGCGAUCCGGAUGAAUACUUCAAGCUCCCAGAAAGCUGUCACGAGGAGCGUGCCUUAAAGGAACACACCCCAGAGAUGGUGAAGUCCCAAAGCAAGAGCUUUUUCCACCGCUAUUAAACGUCGCUCACAAAUUUGAAAGGAGCUCCAAGACCAAUUCUGAUUAUGGAAAUAAUCUAGUUUGACUAAAAGACUAAAUGAGACAAGUAUAUUUUCUAGACAUGAAUAAUAAAUUUAUAAUAUACAUGUACUCUUGUUAAUUGAAAUACAUCUGGCGUAUAGCGCAAGGGAUUUCGUUUAUUCACUCAUUAAGAAGUGAGAAAUUGUACACUCUAAAUAAAUUUGUGUUGAGCAAUUAAACACAAUCUCUCUAUCAUUUUGUAAACAUUUUUAGAAGCUAGACACUAUGCGUUCAAUUCCUAAAUAUCGUUGUUCAAUUGCGAAACACUAUGUAUCCUUACUCGAAACAUGUUGGUAUUUUUAAACAUGCUUACAAACUGAUAGCAAGAAAGUGUUUAGAAAAGUGUUCAAUUGCUGAACAACUAAAAGCUAAAUUCGUAUUCGUUGGCCUAACCACACUUAACUUUAUUUGUUUUUAUUCAUGUAGAUUAGGAAACAAAUAUUGUUGAUGUUGGCAAUUAUGUUUUUUGUUUUUUUUCUUUGCAUGGUCAUUCACGUCCAUGUGCUACAUGUGACAGCUGCAAAUAAUCUGUGUAGCGAUACCUUUUUCGUAAAUUAAACUUUUCCUAAUAGCUUUACUGCAGCUGAAGCUUAAUUGUUGAUAUCCUCUUUCACUUCUAUGUGGGCCCCUUUUUGUAACUCUAUCAUUCAAUGCUUAUAAUGACUCAAACUCUUCUCCAACACAUGCUAGGCAUUUUACCUGCAAAGGACAGCUCAAAAGACAUCCCAAACAUUGACUUUUUGCCAUGCCCCAGGGCACCCUUUGCUUAGUAUUCUCAUUUUCGUGUCUUGCAUAAUUAAUGCAACCAUCCAACCUUCCAUGUAUUGCCUUCGUUCAUCAAAGAAAAGACAUGAUUGGGCUCAAAGUGAACCCCUCAAACCAUUUAGCAAAUGCAAAAUAAUCAACAAUAUGGUUUUCGUUCAAACUAACUUACUUUAUACUUCCGUGAACAUAUCCUGUUUAAGAAACCAAGCGCGGGCGGAUUCGUGUAUUAUGAAACAAAAUAUGCAAACGAUUUUUAAGAUUUGAGGGUUUGUUUUCUUCUGAGGAAUUCGUUGAAUUCGUUUUAUUGGGAAUUGGGAUGCAUGCCUUUAACGGUCUCAUUCAAAAUUCAAAACAGAGAGGGGCUUUAAGAUAUA